AACGAACGCCGGCGGCAGGCUUAACACAUGCAAGUCGAACGCCCCGCAAGGGGAGUGGCAGACGGGUGAGUAACGCGUGGGAACAUACCCUUUUCUACGGAAUAGCUCUGGGAAACUGGAAUUAAUACCGUAUACGCCCUACGGGGGAAAGAUUUAUCGGGGAAGGAUUGGCCCGCGUUGGAUUAGCUAGUUGGUGGGGUAAAGGCCUACCAAGGCGACGAUCCAUAGCUGGUCUGAGAGGAUGAUCAGCCACAUUGGGACUGAGACACGGCCCAAACUCCUACGGGAGGCAGCAGUGGGGAAUAUUGGACAAUGGGCGCAAGCCUGAUCCAGCCAUGCCGCGUGAGUGAUGAAGGCCUUAGGGUUGUAAAGCUCUUUCACCGAUGAAGAUAAUGACGGUAGUCGGAGAAGAAGCCCCGGCUAACUUCGUG
RNAcentral lists this ribosomal RNA (431 nucleotides) under uncultured bacterium. RNAcentral's name for it is "partial 16S ribosomal RNA". It matches the Rfam family "Bacterial small subunit ribosomal RNA", at positions 29 to 507 of the family's 1533-position model. The record is from RNAcentral.